GACGAACGCUGGCGGCGUGCUUAACACAUGCAAGUCGAACGAUGAAGCCCAGCUUGCUGGGUGGAUUAGUGGCGAACGGGUGAGUAACACGUAGGCAACCUGCCCCAAACUCUGGGAUAACUCCUCGAAAGAGGUGCUAAUACCGGAUACGAACUAGACAGACAUCUGUACUAGUUGGAAAGUUUUUCGGUUUGGGAUGGGCCCGCGGCCUAUCAGCUUGUUGGUGAGGUAACGGCUCACCAAGGCUACGACGGGUAACCGGCCUGAGAGGGCGACCGGUCACACUGGGACUGAGACACGGCCCAGACUCCUACGGGAGGCAGCAGUGGGGAAUAUUGCGCAAUGGGCGAAAGCCUGACGCAGCGACGCCGCGUGAGGGAUGAAGGUCUUCGGAUCGUAAACCUCUUUCAGUAGGGACGAAGCGAAAGUGACGGUACCUAAAGAAGAAGCACCGGCUAACUACGUGCCAGCAGCCGCAGUAA
This 482-nucleotide ribosomal RNA is filed under the name uncultured bacterium. RNAcentral describes it as "partial 16S ribosomal RNA". It matches the Rfam family "Bacterial small subunit ribosomal RNA", at positions 28 to 523 of the family's 1533-position model. The record is from RNAcentral.